CCUACGGGGGGCUGCAGCAAGGAAUUUUCCCCAAUGGGCGCAAGCCUGAGGGAGCAACGUCGCGUGCAGGACGACGGCCUUCGGGUUGUAAACUGCUUUUGGGGGGGAAGAUACUGACGGUACCCCCCGAAUAAGCCCCGGCUAACUCCGUGCCAGCAGCCGCGGUAAGACGGAGGGGGCAAGCGUUGUCCGGAAUCACUGGGCGUAAAGCGCGUGUAGGUGGUCCGGUGCGUCGGCGCUGAAAGCGCCAGGCUUAACCUGGCGAGGCGUGCCGA
This 275-nucleotide ribosomal RNA is filed under the name uncultured bacterium. RNAcentral's name for it is "partial 16S ribosomal RNA". It matches the Rfam family "Bacterial small subunit ribosomal RNA", at positions 338 to 630 of the family's 1533-position model. The record is from RNAcentral.